CAAAGGAAUUGACGGGACCGCACAAGCGGUGGAUGAUGUGGAUUAAUUCGAUGCAACGCGAAAACCUUACCUACCCUUGACAUGUCCGGAAUCCCGAAGAGAUUUGGGAGUGCUCGCAAGAGAGCCGGAACACAGGUGCUGCAUGGCUGUCGUCAGCUCGUGUCGUGAGAUGUUGGGUUAAGUCCCGCAACGAGCGCAACCCUUGCCAUUAGUUGCUACGAAAGGGCACUCUAAUGGGACUGCCGGUGACAAACCGGAGGAAGGUGGGGAUGACGUCAAGUCCUCAUGGCCCUUAUGGGUAGGGCUUCACACGUCAUACAAUGGUCGGUACAGAGGGUUGCCAACCCGCGAGGGGGAGCUAAUCCCACAAAGCCGAUCGUAGUCCGGAUCGCAGUCUGCAACUCGACUGCGUGAAGUCGGAAUCGCUAGUAAUCGUGGAUCAGCAUGUCACGGUGAAUACGUUCCCGGGUCUU
Molecule: ribosomal RNA, 473 nt
Filed under: uncultured Bordetella sp.
Lineage: Bacteria; Pseudomonadati; Pseudomonadota; Betaproteobacteria; Burkholderiales; Alcaligenaceae
Description: bacterial SSU rRNA
Rfam family: Bacterial small subunit ribosomal RNA
Source: RNAcentral